CUCGAAGGACAUUUAGAUAGUUAGAAAAAAUUAUGGCUCUUUGUUUGCAAGUUCUAUAUCCUCUUAGAAAAUUUAUUUUAUUUGGGAGCCACAAUCCCUCUUUCCUUAAGAUUAACUUUGAUGGUAUUAUUCUAAAUGGAGAGGUGGAUGGGAUGGAGUUAGUUUUAUCAUAAGAAGAAUAGUAAAGUUUUAGUUGCGGC
RNAcentral lists this long non-coding RNA (200 nucleotides) under Elaeis guineensis (African oil palm). RNAcentral's name for it is "long non-coding RNA (EGUI_LNC048673)". Lineage: Eukaryota; Viridiplantae; Streptophyta; Magnoliopsida; Arecales; Arecaceae. The record is from RNAcentral.